RNAcentral lists this long non-coding RNA (823 nucleotides) under Homo sapiens (human). RNAcentral describes it as "HSALNT0194781". Lineage: Eukaryota; Metazoa; Chordata; Mammalia; Primates; Hominidae. The record is from RNAcentral.
CAAGAAGAGAUGGGGUCCAUCAGAAUAAGGAAGAACUGGACUUACCGGGAAAGUAUGGAGAGAAAUAUCUUUUAAAUUUUUAUAAGGAAAACAGAAGUAUUUCAGUGUUCAUAAGUGAUUUGAAUUGGUCCUCUGCUUGUUUUAUCCUCUUAUUUGGGCAAGUAUCAGCUGCCAGCAUUGUCAUUUGUGCCUUUAGAUCAACUAGCAGAUCAGCAAUCCCCCAAAAGAGGAAAAGCUGUGUCUUAGUGUGUAGAAACAAAUCCUUAAUUCAAUCAUCAUUUUUUGGAUAGUGACAUAGAUAUAUUUGUGUGGUGUUGGUUACUGGCAUGUUGUUUUUAAGCCAAUAGUUAAGUGAUGCUCCUUUAAACAGAAUAUGAAUUCCUUUGCAAGUAUUUGAAAAAGACUAGAUGCCCUUUAUAGAAACAGCAUUUUAUUCCUCCAGAGGAAAGUCAGUUCACAAAAUUAUUAAGCCUAGUGAUUAAUUAUUUUUUAGCCCUUCACUGUCUUUGGUACUCCUCUUGAUUUUUAAAAUGGUUGAUGACAGAUACUCCACAGAAUCCUUAGAAUUCUACUGAUUUGAUUAUUACUUGCCAUCUUUACUCCAUACAGAAGGAAUAUGUGGAUUAAACACAAAGGCAGCUCCAAAAUUACUUUAUUCACUGAAGCAGAACAUCAUUAUUACUUCAAGAAAAGCAAACUGAAGAAAUAAAACUCUAAAAGUACAAAGUUAUUUAUAGAUUGUGUGUAACAUUGGACAUUUAGUAAUGCAGCUUAAUGGGUUUAGUGCAGUGACUUUCCACUCAUUUCAUGAUUUGAUUGGAAC